GAAAAUGACUCUCGGCAACGGAUAUCUCGGCUCUUGCAUCGAUGAAGAACGUAGCGAAAUGCGAUACUUGGUGUGAAUUGCAGAAUCCCGUGAACCAUCGAGUCUUUGAACGCAAGUUGCGCCCGAAGCCAUUUGGUUUGAGGGCACGCCUGCCUGGGUGUCGUG
RNAcentral lists this ribosomal RNA (165 nucleotides) under Warneckea wildeana. Its description in RNAcentral is "5.8S ribosomal RNA". It matches the Rfam family "5.8S ribosomal RNA". From Rfam's summary of the family: 5.8S ribosomal RNA (5.8S rRNA) is a component of the large subunit of the eukaryotic ribosome. It is transcribed by RNA polymerase I as part of the 45S precursor that also contains 18S and 28S rRNA. Lineage: Eukaryota; Viridiplantae; Streptophyta; Magnoliopsida; Myrtales; Melastomataceae. The record is from RNAcentral.